This 254-nucleotide ribosomal RNA is filed under the name uncultured bacterium. RNAcentral describes it as "partial 16S ribosomal RNA". It matches the Rfam family "Bacterial small subunit ribosomal RNA", at positions 524 to 776 of the family's 1533-position model. The record is from RNAcentral.
UACGUAGGGCGCAAGCGUUGUCCGGAAUUAUUGGGCGUAAAGAGCUCGUAGGCGGUUUGGCAAGUCGGGUGUGAAAUUUCGAGGCUCAACCUCGAAACGCCACUCGAUACUGCUAUGACUGGAGUCCGGUAGAGGAGUGCGGAAUUCCUGGUGUAGCGGUGAAAUGCGCAGAUAUCAGGAGGAACACCAACGGCGAAGGCAGCACUCUGGGCCGGUACUGACGCUGAGGAGCGAAAGCGUGGGGAGCAAACAGG